CCAAAGGAAGUGAUCUUUAGAAAUGGCAAAUACAAGCAAAUGUCAAUUGUACUUUUAGGAAGGAAGUCCAGCCCCAGUGUUUGUAGACUAUCUGGCCAGUAUCUGUAAAACGUGUUCUUCACACACAUUUCCUGGGCUUAAGAGAAGGGCACAUCUGCAGUUUGAGCAUUGACCACAUGAGACCAUUCCCACCAGACUGUUCAAUGCAGAAAGCUAUAGAAAGAUCUCUGAGUUGUGAAACGCAGGAGACAACAACACUGAGGACUAUCAGUGAUGGAGGCAGAGUGAAUUCUGCAGUCAUCUCUCGUCUCACAGUCAAUAUAUACAGCAAAUGGCUGGAAAAAGCGAGCCUUGG
This 355-nucleotide long non-coding RNA is filed under the name Meriones unguiculatus (Mongolian gerbil). RNAcentral describes it as "lncRNA (ENSMUGG00000001470.1)". Lineage: Eukaryota; Metazoa; Chordata; Mammalia; Rodentia; Muridae. The record is from RNAcentral.